RNAcentral lists this ribosomal RNA (229 nucleotides) under uncultured Methanolinea sp. RNAcentral's name for it is "partial 16S ribosomal RNA". It matches the Rfam family "Archaeal small subunit ribosomal RNA", at positions 1111 to 1338 of the family's 1478-position model. Lineage: Archaea; Methanobacteriati; Methanobacteriota; Methanomicrobia; Methanomicrobiales; Methanoregulaceae. The record is from RNAcentral.
CUGCUAAAGAGGAGGAAGGAAUGGGCAACGGUAGGUCAGCAUGCCCCGAAUUAUCCGGGCUACACGCGGGCUACAAUGGUCAGGACAAUGGGUACCGACACCGAGAGGUGGAGGCAAUCUCCUAAACCUGUCCUUAGUUCGGAUUGUGGGCUGCAACUCGCCCACAUGAAGCUGGAAUCCGUAGUAAUCGCGUUUCAAAAUAGCGCGGUGAAUAUGUCCCUGGCUCCUU